Molecule: long non-coding RNA, 1040 nt
Filed under: Olea europaea subsp. europaea
Lineage: Eukaryota; Viridiplantae; Streptophyta; Magnoliopsida; Lamiales; Oleaceae
Source: RNAcentral
GUACCCUAUAAUAUAUGUGUUUUCACUCCCGGCAUCAUUGCAACUUUUUGUAUUUACGUUUGAGAUAAAAUGUUGACACAAAUUUGGAAGUUUAAUGAUGAUAACAUCUGUGAAAUCCACAAACAAUAUCAGUUUCGUUUAUAUUAAUUAAUCUUCACUUAGACCACAAUAUCCCAUUCGCAACCAUCACCUUCCCCCGUCCUGCAAAGUGAAGGAAAAAAGGGGAUCGAGACUUCUUGUGCAAUAGGACACAAAAUUGAAUUCAAAGAAGGGUCUUGCAAAUACAACAACACCGAAAUUCGAUUCAUCUCAUACCUACUUCCAUUUCGUUGCAGCAUAUGGGUGCUAGUGACUUUGGAGGAAUAAAACGCUGGCAAAUGGCUUACGAGUCGAAGAUCGAAGCCACGGAGACCUUGUAUUCAGUCAUUGUCUUUAGUGAAAAUGGGGAAUACGGAAAUCCUCGUGCCGCUGAGUGAAGGUUUCAGUUGCUGCUCAAGGGUUUCGGUGAUUUUGGGGAAAAAUAGUAUAGUAACGGGUUUAGAGCUUGGGAGAAAAGAGUGUAGUAAUGGGUUUAGAAUUAGGGCCAGUUUGAAAGGAGUUUCACAUUUCUUUUCUUUUUUUUUUAACCUCCAAUUCACCCCUGUCAAUCAAUGUGUUAAGAUCUUUCAUUUUUUUUUUAGGAUAUUCAUGUAUCCCAACUUACACUAAACUAAAUCCUGAACCUCCAAAAUCCUUGCCCCUAGAACCUUGGAGAGGGUAAAUCGCGGGUUAUGCCUCAACUGGAUCACAGGUUCCCCCACCGCCUGUACACUUCUGCGUACAAGAGAUCCUCCUCCAAAGUGAUUGCUCCAUACCAAAUAAAUCUGACCGCAGAUUCCCACCAGGAUUCGAACCUCCACCCUACCGCUGAAAGCAAGACAAUGUUGAUUGAUCCACCAAUUGAGCUGUGCCCCCGGGGGCUUAAGAUCUUCUGUUACAGUAGUGCAGUCCACGUUCAUUUUAGAAGGGUAACUAUGCAUUUUGGGAUAGUUUUGAGGUGG